Molecule: ribosomal RNA, 432 nt
Filed under: uncultured bacterium
Lineage: Bacteria
Description: bacterial SSU rRNA
Rfam family: Bacterial small subunit ribosomal RNA
Source: RNAcentral
GACGAACGCUGGCGGCGUGCUUAACACAUGCAAGUCGAACGAAAGGACGGGAAGAGCUUGCUCUUUCCGGAAUUGAGUGGCAAACGGGUGAGUAACACGUAAACAACCUGCCUUCAGGAUGGGGACAACAGACGGAAACGACUGCUAAUACCGAAUAAGUUCCAAGAGCCGCAUGGCCCAUGGAAGAAAAGGUGGCCUCUACCUGUAAGCUAUCGCCUGAAGAGGGGGUUUGCGUCUGAUUAGCUGGUUGGAGGGGUAACGGCCCACCAAGGCGACGAUCAGUAGCCGGUCUGAGAGGAUGAACGGCCACACUGGAACUGAGACACGGUCCAGACUCCUACGGGAGGCAGCAGUGGGGAAUCUUCCGCAAUGGGCGAAAGCCUGACGGAGCAACGCCGCGUGAGUGAUGACGGCCUCGGUUGUAAACGUACU